RNAcentral lists this transfer RNA (58 nucleotides) under Actinomycetota bacterium. RNAcentral describes it as "tRNA-His". It matches the Rfam family "tRNA", at positions 9 to 64 of the family's 71-position model. From Rfam's summary of the family: Transfer RNA (tRNA) molecules are approximately 80 nucleotides in length. Their secondary structure includes four short double-helical elements and three loops (D, anti-codon, and T loops). The record is from RNAcentral. Lineage: Bacteria; Bacillati; Actinomycetota.
GGCUCACUUGGCAGAGCAUCAGGUUGUGGUCCCGAAGGUCGCGGGUUCGAGCCCCGUC